UACGUAGGGAGCAAGCGUUGUCCGGAAUCAUUGGGCGUAAAGCGCGCGUAGGCGGCCCUGUAAGUCCGUUGUGAAAGUCAAAGGCUCAACCUUUGAAAGCCGGUGGAUACUGUCGAGCUCGAGUCCGGAAGAGGCGAGUGGAAUUCCUGGUGUAGCGGUGAAAUGCGCAGAUAUCAGGAGGAACACCAAUGGCGAAGGCAGCUCGCUGGGACGGUACUGACGCUGAGACGCGAAAGCGUGGGGAGCAAACAGG
RNAcentral lists this ribosomal RNA (253 nucleotides) under uncultured bacterium. RNAcentral's name for it is "partial 16S ribosomal RNA". It matches the Rfam family "Bacterial small subunit ribosomal RNA", at positions 524 to 776 of the family's 1533-position model. The record is from RNAcentral.